GGAGGAGCAUGAUGUCACUAGCAGGUGUGUAGAUGAUGCUGAUGUCACUAGCAGGUGUGUAGAUGAUGCUGAUGUCACUAGCAGGUGAGGAGGAGCAUGAUGUCACUAGCAGGUGUGUAGAUGAUGCUGAUGUCACUAGCAGGUGAGGAGGAGCAUGAUGUCACUAGCAGGUGUGUAGAUGAUGCUGAUGUCACUAGCAGGUGAGGAGGAGCAUGAUGUCACUAGCAGGUGUGUAGAUGAUGCUGAUGUCACUAGCAGGUGAGGAGGAGCAUGAUGUCACUAGCAGGUGUGUAGAUGAUGCUGAUGUCACUAGCAGAUGAGGAGCAUGAUGUCACUAGCAGGUGUGUAGAUGAUGCUGAUGUCACUAGCAGGUGAGGAGGAGCAUGAUGUCACUAGCAGGUGUGUAGAUGAUGCUGAUGUCACUAGCAGGUGAGGAGGAGCAUGAUGUCACUAGCAGAUGAGUAACGCAUCUCUUUCGCCAAGCAUUCGAAUAAUGUAUCUCUUAAAUUGUGAGUGUGGUUGCAUCUGAUCAAAUGUGCAUUCUUAUUCAUUAGCUUGGGUUAAACAAAUAUUACUUUGUUGGAUCAGCAGCAUGUUAAUGAUGUCUCUAUUUUGUUUCUAUGUUUUGCCACGGGAUCUUCAUCCCGUAGUAACUAGGAUUUACACAAGCUCCAGUCUGGAUCCAGAACACCUGAGAAGAGAUGCUGACCCUCAGAGGACCCCAGAGGAUGCUAACCCUGAAUCAACAAACAGAACUAACAAAUAUUGCUACAAGUGUGACCGCAUCAUAUAAUAAUAAUUAAUUAAUAAUAUUAAUAAUGUUCAUCGUCUGGCUGACUACGUCUUGUAUUAAUUUUUCUAAAAACCCUGUCAAACGUGCACAAACUGACAGUCACCAACAUAAGCUACUACUAAAUAUUUUAGAAACAUAAUAUUCUGUAAAGUUGAUUUGUAUUGUAAAAAGCGCUAUAGAAAUAAACUUGAAUUGAAUUGAGUAGAUGAUGCUGAUGUCAGUAGC
This is a long non-coding RNA of Carassius gibelio (silver crucian carp), 1018 nucleotides long. RefSeq lists it as uncharacterized. The record is from RefSeq and is a predicted model, not a curated record. NCBI's taxonomy places the organism in Eukaryota, Metazoa, Chordata, Actinopteri, Cypriniformes, Cyprinidae. The transcript has 4 exons.